RNAcentral lists this ribosomal RNA (492 nucleotides) under uncultured bacterium. RNAcentral describes it as "partial 16S ribosomal RNA". It matches the Rfam family "Bacterial small subunit ribosomal RNA", at positions 29 to 507 of the family's 1533-position model. The record is from RNAcentral.
AGCGAACGCUGGCGGUAGGCCUAACACAUGCAAGUCGAACGGCAGCACAGUAAGAGCUUGCUCUUACGGGUGGCGAGUGGCGGACGGGUGAGGAAUACAUCGGAAUCUACUUUUUCGUGGGGGAUAACGUAGGGAAACUCACGCUAAUACUGCAUACUACCUACGGGUGAAAUCAGGAGAUCUUCGGACCUCGCGCGCUUUAUUGAGCCGAUGUCGUAUUAGCUAGUUGGCGGGGUAAAGGCCCACCAGGGCGACAAUCCGUAGCGGGUCGCAGAGAAUGAUAGGCCAAACGGGAACGGAUACGGGGUCCAGACUCUUACGGGAGGCAGCAGUGGGGAAUAUUGGACAAUGGGCGAAGGCCUAGUCCAGCCAUACCGCGUGGGUGAAGAAGGCGUUCGGGUUUUAAAGCCCUUUUGUUGGGAAGGAAAAGCAGCAAGUUAAUACCUCGCUGUACUGACGGUACCCAAAGAAUAAGCACCGGCUAACUUCGUG